Molecule: transfer RNA, 64 nt
Filed under: Camelus bactrianus (Bactrian camel)
Lineage: Eukaryota; Metazoa; Chordata; Mammalia; Artiodactyla; Camelidae
Also listed under: 2 other names
Rfam family: tRNA
About the family: Transfer RNA (tRNA) molecules are approximately 80 nucleotides in length. Their secondary structure includes four short double-helical elements and three loops (D, anti-codon, and T loops).
Source: Rfam by way of RNAcentral
GGUAGCUCAGGGGUAGAGCGCAUGCUUGGCGUGCACGAGGUCCUGGGUUCAAACCUCAGUACCU